This 1016-nucleotide ribosomal RNA is filed under the name Meliola cassiae-ferrugineae. RNAcentral describes it as "SSU rRNA". It matches the Rfam family "Eukaryotic small subunit ribosomal RNA", at positions 80 to 1105 of the family's 1831-position model. Lineage: Eukaryota; Fungi; Ascomycota; Sordariomycetes; Meliolales; Meliolaceae. The record is from RNAcentral.
AGCGAAACUGCGAAUGGCUCAUUAAAUCAGUUAUCGUUUAUUUGAUAGUGCCUUCUUACUCGGAUAACCGUGGUAAUUCUAGAGCUAAUACGUGCUUCAAGUCCCAACUUCGGAAGGGACGUGUUUAUUAGAUUCAAAGCCAACGCCUUUCGGGGCUCGCUGGUGAUUCAUGAUAACCGCUCGAAUCGCACGGCCUUUGCGCCGGCGAUGGUUCAUUCAAAUUUCUGCCCUAUCAACUUUCGAUGGCUGGGUAGUGGCCAGCCAUGGUGACAACGGGUAACGGAGGGUUAGGGCUCGACCCCGGAGAAGAAGCCAGAGUAACGGCUUCUACAUCCAUGGAAGGCAGCAGGCGCGCAAAUUACCCAAUCCCGACACGGGGAGGUAGUGACAAUAAAUACUGAUACAGGGCUCUUUAGGGUCUUGUAAUUGGAAUGAGUACAAUUUAAAUCCCUUAACGAGGAACAAUUGGAGGGCAAGUCUGGUGCCAGCAGCCGCGGUAAUUCCAGCUCCAAUAGCGUAUAUUAAAGUUGUUGCGGUUAAAAAGCUCGUAGUUGAACCUCGGGCCUGGCCGGCCGGUCCGCCUCACCGCGUGCACUGGCUCGGCUGGGCCUUUCCCGCUGGGGAGCCGCAUGCCCUUCACUGGGUGUGUCGGGGAACCAGGACUUUUACUUUGAAUAAAUCAGAUCGCUCCAAGAAGGCCUUCGCUCGGAUGCAUUAGCAUGGAAUAAUGAAAUAGGACGUGCGGUUCUAUUUCGUUGGUUUCUAGGACCGCCGUAAUGAUUAAGAGGGACAGUCGGGGGCAUCAGUAUUCAGUUGUCAGAGGUGAAAUUCUUGGAUCUACUGAAGACUAACUACUGCGAAAGCAUUUGCCAAGGAUGUUUUCAUUAAUCAGGAACGAAAGUUGGGGGAUCGAAGACGAUCAGAUACCGUCGUAGUCUCAACCAUAAACCAUGCCGACUAGGGAUCGGACGAUGCUAUCCUAUGGCUCGUUCGGCACCUUACGCGAAAGCAAAGUU